Molecule: unclassified non-coding RNA, 20 nt
Filed under: Mus musculus (house mouse)
Lineage: Eukaryota; Metazoa; Chordata; Mammalia; Rodentia; Muridae
Description: oocyte_clustered_small_RNA4614
Source: RNAcentral
UUGUGGGGUAACACACCGUA